Molecule: ribosomal RNA, 468 nt
Filed under: uncultured bacterium
Lineage: Bacteria
Description: partial 16S ribosomal RNA
Rfam family: Bacterial small subunit ribosomal RNA
Source: RNAcentral
GACGAACGCUGGCGGCGCGCCUAACACAUGCAAGUCGAACGGAGCUGAGAGAAGCUUGCUUUUCUUAGCUUAGUGGCGAACGGGUGAGUAACGCGUGAGUAACCUGCCCUGGAGUGGGGGACAACAGUUGGAAACGACUGCUAAUACCGCAUAAGCCCACGAUCCGGCAUCGGCUUGAGGGAAAAGGAUUUAUUCGCUUCAGGAUGGACUCGCGUCCAAUUAGCUAGUUGGUGAGGUAACGGCCCACCAAGGCGACGAUUGGUAGCCGGACUGGGAGGGUGAACGGCCACAUUGGGACUGAGACACGGCCCAGACUCCUACGGGAGGCAGCAGUGGGGGAUAUUGCACAAUGGGGGAAACCCUGAUGCAGCGACGCCGCGUGGAGGAAGAAGGUUUUCGGAUUGUAAACUCCUGUCGUUAGGGACGAUAAUGACGGUACCUAACAAGAAAGCACCGGCUAACUACGUG